GAGUUUGAUCCUGGCUCAGAUUGAACGCUGGCGGUAUGCUUAACACAUGCAAGUCGAACGGUAACAGAACUAGCUUGCUAGUUGCUGACGAGUGGCGGACGGGUGAGUAAAGCGUAGGAAUCUACCUAGUAGUGGGGGAUAGCCCAGAGAAAUUUGGAUUAAUACCGCAUACGCCCUACGGGGGAAAGGAGGGGAUCUUCGGACCUUACACUAUUGGAUGAGCCCGCGUCGGAUUAGCUAGUUGGUGAGGUAAAGGCUCACCUAGGCAACGAUCCGUAGCUGGUCUGAGAGGAGGAUCAGCCACACUGGGACUGAGACGCGGCCCAGACUCCUACGGGAGGCAGCAAUGGGGAAUAUUGGACAAUGGGGGAAACCCUGAUCCAGCAAUGCCGCGUGAGUGAAGAAGGCUCUAGGGUUGUAAAGCACUUUAAGUUGGGAGGAAAGGGUGAUGGUUAAUAUCCAUUAUCUGUGACGUUACCAACAGAAUAAGCACCGGCUAACUCCGUGCCAGCAGCCGCGGUAAUACGGAGGGUGCAAGCGUUAAUCGGAAUUACUGGGCGUAAAGCGCGCGUAGGUGGUUGUGUAAGUGGAAUGUGAAAGCCCUGGGCUCAACCUGGGAACUGCAUACCAAACUGCGCAACUAGAGUACGAUAGAGGGGGGUAGAAUUUCAGGUGUAGCGGUGAAAUGCGUAGAGAUCUGAAGGAAUACCGGUGGCGAAGGCGGCCCCCUCCCUGGUAGUCCACGCCGUAAACGAUGUCUACUAGCCGUUGGAAUCCUUAGAGGUUUUAGUGGCGCAGCUAACGCAAUAAGUAGACCGCCUGGGGAGUACGGCCGCAAGGCUAAAACUCAAAUGAAUUGACGGGGGCCCGCACAAGCGGUGGAGCAUGUGGUUUAAUUCGACGCAACGCGAAGAACCUUACCUACUCUUGACAUCCUCGGAACUUAGCAGAGAUGCUUUGGUGCCUUCGGGAACCGAGUGACAGGUGCUGCAUGGCUGUCGUCAGCUCGUGUCGUGAGAUGUUGGGUUAAGUCCCGUAACGAGCGCAACCCUUGUCCUUAUUUGCCAGCACGUAAUGGUGGGAACUCUAAGGAGACUGCCGGUGACAAACCGGAGGAAGGUGGGGACGACGUCAAGUCAUCAUGGCCCUUACGGCCAGGGCUACACACGUGCUACAAUGGCGCGUACAGAGGGCUGCCAACUCGCGAGAGUGAGCCAAUCCCUUAAAACGCGUCGUAGUCCGGAUCGGAGUCUGCAACUCGACUCCGUGAAGUCGGAAUCGCUAGUAAUCGCGAAUCAGAAUGUCGCGGUGAAUACGUUCCCGGGCCUUGUACACACCGCACGUCACACCAUGGGAGUGGGUUGCACCAGAAGUAGCUAGUCUAACCUUCGGGAGGACGGUUACCACGGUGUGAUUCAUGACUGGGGUGAAGUCGUAACAAGGUAGCCCUAGGGGAACCUGGGGCUGGAUCACCUCCUUA
This 1480-nucleotide ribosomal RNA is filed under the name uncultured prokaryote. Its description in RNAcentral is "partial 16S ribosomal RNA". It matches the Rfam family "Bacterial small subunit ribosomal RNA". The record is from RNAcentral.